RNAcentral lists this long non-coding RNA (703 nucleotides) under Dromaius novaehollandiae (emu). RNAcentral describes it as "lncRNA (ENSDNVG00000004041.1)". The record is from RNAcentral. Lineage: Eukaryota; Metazoa; Chordata; Aves; Casuariiformes; Dromaiidae.
UCCGACGUAGCUGCCCCAAAGUCCUGCCGGGACACCCGACGCGCCGGCCGUGCACGCUGACACCGUGUGCCGGCCCUCGUGUCCCUUUGCACCCUUCCUAACCCGGCCGCGGCGCCCGGCACGGAGGAGAGCUGCCCGGGCUGAGCCCAGCGCCGGAGCCGGGCUCGGGGCCGAGUCGCAGCCGCUGGUGGCGAGGAGGAGGAAGAGGAGGAGGAGGAGMGGARCCRGGGUCGGGCAGCGCUSCGCGGGACCCGCCGGCCGCCCGGGGCUGAUGCUGCCCGGGGAAGGGGCAGAGCUGUAGAAAAAUGCCCCGAGGAGCCGCCGGCGCGGCGCUGCUGGCAAUSCUGACCGUUUCGCUGGGCUUCGCCGCCGGYGAGCUGCUCUGCGCCUGCGACGUGCCGCACUGCAACGUCUCCACGUGCCGGGGGAAGGUGUGCUUCGUCAGCAAGAGCAGGGAGGGCGGCAGCGUCACCCGGCGCAAGGGCUGCUUCUCGCAGCACCUCCUGGAGAGCUGCCGCGGCCCCGUCAUGGAGCACUUCGGCACCAAGUGCUGCAACGCCAGCAUGUGCAACGCCCACCUGGAGAUCUACCUGCGAGGUAGGAGCGGGCCACGGUGCCGUGUCGUGCCGUGCCGGCCGCACAGUGCCCCAGUCCCAGCCGGCGUUGCCCCCCGGCAGGCGAGGAGGCGCCGGGGCCGGCGGCC